This is an RNA transcript of Monopterus albus (swamp eel), 3123 nucleotides long. It is a transcript of the gene named cell division cycle protein 23 homolog, with no coding region annotated. NCBI's taxonomy places the organism in Eukaryota, Metazoa, Chordata, Actinopteri, Synbranchiformes, Synbranchidae. The transcript is spliced from 6 exons. The record is from RefSeq and is a predicted model, not a curated record.
AUGAAAAUGGCGGCUUUAUGUAGUGAGUUCGAGGGCUUGGUACAAGUCAAGAAACAGCUAAUAUCAGUGAUAUUGCUUUGUAAAGAAAGAAGACCUUUACACAUCACGAAGUGGAAGACGCACAAGACUUGGAUGCAUUUACACCGGCCAAAGCAUAGCUUGACCUGAAAGAGUGCUGCAGUCAGAAGGCCUAUCUCCUAUAUACACUAUGUGUUUUCGCUGUCUGUCAGGUGAGAAGAAGAAGGACGAUGAGACAGUGGACAGCCUUGGUCCUCUGGAGAAGGGUCAAGUGUGCAAUGAAGCCUUACGAGAACUAAGAGUUCAGCUUAGUAAGAAGAACACUGCAGACGAGUUGGAUGGCUUCCGCUGUAUCUUUAAGAACUUUUCCUCAGGGUACAGACUUUCCACAGAUUCUGCAGAGGAAUGAAGUUGUCAGUGCUCAUAAACUGUAUGUUAUGUGUGCAUGUAUAGGAACAGACGUAUGGAGUUGUGCUACAAAAACUGGAUUUACUGAAGGAGGCUGUGGAUGUGUUUGUUGAGUCACUGUCCCUGCCAGACUGCUGGAUUAAAGACAUCUUUAUGGCCCAUAGAGCUGCAGAUCAAAGAAGCGCAGAAAUACUAGAACCUUAUUGAGGCUGGCUUUUCUAAGAGCACCUACAUCAUCUUACAGAUUGCUUUGGCUUAUUAGAGAUGUUGACCAAGCUUUGGCUUUGUUCACUGAGUUCAGGGAUCAAGAUCCAUAUAGCAUCAACAUGGACAUGUUCUCCAACCUGCUCUAUGUUAAGGCAGGGUCACAAGAUGUCUGUUUUCACUUGUUCCUCCAAGUGUUUCACAGAGAAGAUAGAAACGUAAACAGUAUCAACCAGUAGGGAUACAGUGCAUGGAACACGGGGACGUAUGCUUACUGACACAGGAGUUCACUGUAUUAUGUGAUGUUUAUAUUUGAUUUCAGAAUUAUUUCAUGGGUUUUUGCAAAGACCUAAGUGGGUAAAAAUGUUAAUCUAGGACAGACUGAUGUUCAUUUAAGGACCCUUUUAUAAAGGCAAUAUUAAAAUAAAAUUUGGUUCUGCUGAUGCUAAUGCAUGUUUCCACAAAGCACGAAGCCAGAGCUGAGCUGUUUGGCCCACAACUUUGUGAAGUAGUUGUUGGGCUUGAUAGACCUGGACUAUGUUGGAAGGAUUUUUGAGGAUGCAUAGACAGUUGUUUAUGCAUUAAAAAUGCAUUUUUUUGUAAAAUUUGCGAUGUUGAUGCAAAUGUAGAAACAGUCUAAGCUCUGGCAAUACAUUUAUUUGGUCAAAAGUAUAAAAAAGAAAGUACACAAACAUUUUUAAGGAUUUUAUUGUGGAAAAAGUAUUUACAGCAAUAGUGUGUGGUGGACUUGCAGAGAUUAAAACCAUGCACAAGUCCUUUAAUCAUGCUGAGCAACUUCCCUGCUUGACCAUCUCCAUUUCCUUAACAGUAUAAUUCAGCCCCAUUUAAUGCAUUAAAAGCUUUACUGGCAUAACUGUACCUGUGCCAUGACAAAAUGUACAAGUAUAAGGCCAGUGAUACUCUUCUUUUUCUCAUUUUCCACAUAUCAUACAGAGACUAAAACCCAACAAAUAAGUUACUCAUGUCUGUACAUCCAUAACCUGGUUAAGCUUAUUCAUCUGUAGCAUAGAAAUCCAUCGUUUGAAAACACCAGUGAGCCACACUGCUGCAAUGGGUGACACGUUUCUUCCUCAUGUAACGUGCGUGUUUUUUUUUUGUUGUUUUUUUUUGUAAACCAAAAAGGGCUCCAGAUGCACAAAAGAAGUCUCUGAGGUAACAAAGUCAACACAUGAUCUUGGCUCUGUGUGCACAACUCCACUAACUUAAUGUGUGUGUACACCACAUUUCUCCUGAGGUAGAAACAUGUCAACCCGUGCAGAAAUGUGGCUGACUGGUGGGGUUUUUUUUGUUUUGUUUUGUUUUUGUGGCAUACACCAACAAUGCAGGGUUUAUCCUGCAGAAAGAGGAGCUAAAUCAGGUUCUGGAUUCAGACACUGAUAGUCUCUCUAUAGGUUUUGUGGAAAAUAAUUAAAAAUAAAUGUCACCCUAUCUUUUAGCUACACUGCAAAAAGUGAAUAUAUAAAGCAAACAAACAUUAAAGACAACAGUAUAAAAUUACUAGCAAUUCUAACUUUGAAUAUAUGAAAUACAUGAAUUUCCAAAUAGGAUGCCUUGGAUGACACACAAAAUACUACAACUAAUUACAGCAAGGAAUGCAGCAUGCAUGUCUGGGGACACCAAUGCCUAUAGUACAGCCAGGGCUGCUUUGAGGGACGGCAUCAAAUCUGUCAAACUAGGAUACAAAAGGCAGAUUAAAGCUAAAUUUAACAACUCUGCAAAUCCCCAGCAGGUGUAGGAGGGCGUCAAGGCAGUAACGGACUAUAAGACAACAUCUUCCACAGUGAACUGCUGUGCCACCUUGGCUGAGGAGCUAAAUCUCUUCUACACCCGUUUUGACAGACACAACACAGACCCAGUACUGCCUCCCCUGCCCUUUACUGACACCGCCCCAGUCCUGAGCACACAUGAAGUGAGACUCUGUCUGCGUAACAUCAACCCCAGGAAAGCAGCCGGACCAGAUGGAGUGCAGGGAUAGGUGCUGAAAGACUGUGCGGCUGAGCUAGCAGAGGUCUUCACCACCAUCGACAACACGUCAUUGUCCACAUCGUGGGUCCCAGCCUGCUUCAAAGCAGCCACAAUAGUUCCUGUCCCUAAAAUUGUAACUUUGCCCUACAGGCAGUGGUCGAGAAGCAGGCCUCCUGCUCAGGCUUUUGCUUUAGGUCGUCUCUAUGGUGCCAUGGCACUGGAGCCUGUCAUGUAUCAGGAUGUGAGGCAGCUUCAGCCUAGUGAGGUCAGGGUCGAGGAAAUCCACAGAAACUCAUUGUUCAAAGAGGUAAACAGAAGAAACACUUUUAAAUCUCUUGUGAAAUUUCUAACAUAUUCAGUUUCCUUGUAACAUGUCCCAUAGUGUCUGUUGCUUUAUGUCAAAUACAUUUUUCAAGGUUGAAGGAUUUUGUCAAUUCAUCAUAUGUGCAGGACAUACAGAAAAUUGAAAUACUGUUUCUCUCUCACCUAGUAUUGGGUGCCAUAACA